This 434-nucleotide ribosomal RNA is filed under the name uncultured bacterium. Its description in RNAcentral is "partial 16S ribosomal RNA". It matches the Rfam family "Bacterial small subunit ribosomal RNA", at positions 341 to 792 of the family's 1533-position model. The record is from RNAcentral.
ACGGGAGGCAGCAGUGGGGAGUAUUGCACAAUGGGCGAAAGCCUGAUGCAGCGACGCCGCGUGAGUGAAGAAGUAUCUCGGUAUGUAAAGCUCUAUCAGCAGGGAAGAAAAUGACGGUACCUGACUAAGAAGCCCCGGCUAACUACGUGCCAGCAGCCGCGGUAAUACGUAGGGGGCGAGCGUUGUCCGGAAUGAUUGGGCGUAAAGGGCGCGUAGGCGGCCCGUUAAGUCUGGAGUGAAAGUCCUGCUUUUAAGGUGGGAAUUGCUUUGGAUACUGGCGGGCUUGAGUGCAGGAGAGGUAAGUGGAAUUCCCAGUGUAGCGGUGAAAUGCGUAGAUAUUGGGAGGAACACCAGUGGCGAAGGCGACUUACUGGACUGUUACUGACGCUGAGGCGCGAAAGUGUGGGGAGCAAACAGGAUUAGAUACCCUGGUA